UCGCUUGUGCUCCCUGCCAACCUAGCGAACGCCGCCUUCUUCACCUCCACUUUUCCUUUGACUACCUCGUUCCACCACCAAUCACCCUGAUGACUACCUAAAUAUCCCUUAGAAACCCCGAGCACGUCCCAUGCUACCCCCCUAACCAAGUUUGCUGUCGCUGACCACAUAUCGUCCGCUUCCCCAUAACUUCUCCAAGCUCCGCCCUCCACUAACCUCCUUUCCAACUCCUGAGCUUUCUCCUUAGACAAAGCUCCCCAUCUAAA
Molecule: long non-coding RNA, 266 nt
Filed under: Nicotiana benthamiana
Lineage: Eukaryota; Viridiplantae; Streptophyta; Magnoliopsida; Solanales; Solanaceae
Description: long non-coding RNA (NBEN_LNC027705)
Source: RNAcentral